GACCCGUCUUGAAACACGGACCAAGGAGUCCAAGGCGCGUGCGAGUUCCCGGGACUUGACCAGGCCCGAGGGCGCAAUGAAAGUGAAGGGGAGCUUACAUGCUCCCUGAGUUGGGAUCCCCUCCCCCUGCGGGCGGGGCGCACCAACGGCCCGUCCACCUUCGGCUUCGAAGGGGCGGAGCAAGAGCACGUGCCUUGGGACCCGAAAGAUGGUGAACUAUGCCUGGGCAGGACGAAGCCAGAGGAAACUCUGGUGGAGGUCCGUAGCGAUUCUGACGUGCAAAUCGAUCGUCAGACCUUGGUAUAGGGGCGAAAGACUAAUCGAACCAUCUAGUAGCUGGUUCCUUCCGA
RNAcentral lists this ribosomal RNA (350 nucleotides) under Americhernes sp. WW-2000. RNAcentral's name for it is "eukaryotic LSU rRNA". It matches the Rfam family "Eukaryotic large subunit ribosomal RNA", at positions 646 to 964 of the family's 3401-position model. Lineage: Eukaryota; Metazoa; Arthropoda; Arachnida; Pseudoscorpiones; Chernetidae. The record is from RNAcentral.